This 857-nucleotide long non-coding RNA is filed under the name Lepisosteus oculatus (spotted gar). Its description in RNAcentral is "lncRNA (ENSLOCG00000022758.1)". The record is from RNAcentral. Lineage: Eukaryota; Metazoa; Chordata; Actinopteri; Semionotiformes; Lepisosteidae.
UUGGAGCCAGAUUCUUGUUGGUGGGUUGAUGUUGAAGAGCCUCCUUCUUAUUGCGUAGAAAGCCCUGAGUGCCUUCUCCCUCAGUGCCUCUCUCCCUCUCUCUCUCUCCCUGCAGCUCCUGUGUCAGGUGCUGGAACAGGGUGGAGAUGUCUUCCGCCUGCAGCACCUGCAGGUAAACCCCCUCCUCUCCAAUCUCUCACGUCGAGGUGUCCAAGCGUCCGCGUCUGACUGGGGCUCUCCGGGCGGACAUGUUGCGUGAGUCUCCCUGAGACCUCUCUCCAUCUCCGAUCCAGGGCUUCGACUUCCUGGUGCGAGACUGGACCCAGUCUGCGGAGCUGGGCGAGAAUGGGGGAGCCCAGCACCUGGACAAGAUCGUCCAGCGCCUGCAGGACUCCGGCACGUACGAACAGGCUCUCAGGAUCCUGAGGGAGAGGAGGCCGAGCUGCUUCCUGCUGCCCUUCCCUGGGAACAGGCUGGUCUGGAGCCAACGAGGGUCGGUCCAAGACAUGGAUGAGGAGUUUCAGGUCCACCUGAAGGACUAUAUCAACCACACCGCCCAGGUCCUGGAGAGAAGGCAGCCCACCGAGACUGGAGCGACACUGGCAGGGAAGUUCAAGGAAGCAGCUCGUGUCAUUCUUCAAGGCAAAUACAGCAUUUCCUCCCCUGCAGAGGUGAGUCUCCCUGAAGCACAGGAAAAACUACUCAACUGUCUGUCAGUGCGGGACCCUCCCACCAGACUGAAGAGACUCAGUUCCCUCAGCCUGUCCGUGUGGGACACUCCCUUCAGACUGAAGAGACUCAGUUCCCUCAGCCUGUCAGUGCGGGAGAUUCCCUUCAGACUGAAGAGACUCAGUUCC